GAUGAACGCUGGCGGCGUGCCUAACACAUGCAAGUCGAACGGAGUGUUACUUCUUCGGAGGGAACACUUAGUGGCGGACGGGUGAGUAACGCGUGGGUAACCUGCCUCAUACAGGGGGAUAGCAGUUGGAAACGACUGAUAAUACCGCAUAAGCGCACAGUACCGCAUGGUACAGUGUGAAAAACUCCGGUGGUAUGAGAUGGACCCGCGUCUGAUUAGCUUGUUGGCGGGGUAACGGCCCACCAAGGCGACGAUCAGUAGCCGGCCUGAGAGGGUGAACGGCCACAUUGGGACUGAGACACGGCCCAAACUCC
Molecule: ribosomal RNA, 314 nt
Filed under: uncultured Lachnospiraceae bacterium
Lineage: Bacteria; Bacillati; Bacillota; Clostridia; Lachnospirales; Lachnospiraceae
Description: bacterial SSU rRNA
Rfam family: Bacterial small subunit ribosomal RNA
Source: RNAcentral